CGUAGGUGACCAGCGUUGUCCGGAUUUACUGGGCGUAAAGAGCGCGCAGGCGGUCGUUCAAGUCGAGUGUGAAAGCCCCCGGCUCAACUGGGGAGGGUCACUCGAUACUGAUCGACUUGAAGGCAGGAGAGGGAAGCGGAAUUCCCGGUGUAGUGGUGAAAUGCGUAGAUAUCGGGAGGAACACCAGUGGCGAAGGCGGCUUCCUGGCCUGUUCUUGACGCUGAGGCGCGAAAGCUAGGGGAGCAAACGGGAUUAGAUACCCCGGUAGUCCUAGCCGUAAACGAUGGACACUAGGUGUUGGUGGUAUCAACCCCACCAGUGCCGAAGCUAACGCAUUAAGUGUCCCGCCUGGGGAGUACGGCGGCAAGGCUA
Molecule: ribosomal RNA, 372 nt
Filed under: uncultured organism
Description: bacterial SSU rRNA
Rfam family: Bacterial small subunit ribosomal RNA
Source: RNAcentral